RNAcentral lists this ribosomal RNA (581 nucleotides) under uncultured Alphaproteobacteria bacterium. Its description in RNAcentral is "bacterial SSU rRNA". It matches the Rfam family "Bacterial small subunit ribosomal RNA", at positions 45 to 673 of the family's 1533-position model. Lineage: Bacteria; Pseudomonadati; Pseudomonadota; Alphaproteobacteria. The record is from RNAcentral.
GGCCUUAUACAUGCAAGUCGAGCGCAUCCUUCGGGAUGAGCGGCGGACGGGUGAGUAACGCGUGGGAAUGUGCCCUUCUCUACGGAAUAGCCACUGGAAACGGUGAGUAAUACCGUAUACGCUCUCAGGGGGAAAGAUUUAUCGGAGAAGGAUCAGCCCGCGUCAGAUUAGGUAGUUGGUAGGUAAAAGCUUACCAAGGCAACGAUCAAUAGCUGUUCUUAGAGGAAGACCAGCCACAUUGGGACUGAGACACGGCCCAGACUCCUACGGGAGGCAGCAGUGGGGAAUCUUGCACAAUGGGGGAAACCCUGAUGCAGCGAUGCCGCGUGAGUGAAGAAGGCCUUUGGGUUGUAAAACUCUUUCGUCGGGGAAGAAAAUGACUGUACCCGAAUAAGAAGGUCCGGCUAACUUCGUGCCAGCAGCCGCGGUAAUACGAAGGGACCUAGCGUAGUUCGGAAUUACUGGGCUUAAAGAGCUCGUAGGUGGUUAAAAAAGUUGAUGGUGAAAUCCCAAGGCUCAACCUUGGAACUGCCAUCAAAACUUUUUAGCUAGAGUGUGAUAGAGGUAAGUGGAAUUUCUAG